This 253-nucleotide long non-coding RNA is filed under the name Arabidopsis thaliana (thale cress). RNAcentral's name for it is "ncRNA (AT1G08973)". The record is from RNAcentral. Lineage: Eukaryota; Viridiplantae; Streptophyta; Magnoliopsida; Brassicales; Brassicaceae.
AGGUCUCCUUCUGCAGAUUCAGGUGCUGCAUAAAGAAGCCAAACAGUGAUGAUCAUCAUCACUACAUGUAACCCUUUUUGGUUUGCCAUUUCAGAGUUCUUUGAAAUGUGUGUUGUUGUUUUUGUUUUUAUGAGAUGAGUGAGUUCUCAUUUGGCUCUCUUGUAUAAAUAUGCUGAUAAAGAAUAGAGACGUAUAAGGAAGUAAAUUCCAGAGAUUUAUGUGUUUAGAGAUAUGUGUUGGUGUGUGAAAUGAA